Molecule: long non-coding RNA, 744 nt
Organism: Anoplophora glabripennis (Asian longhorned beetle)
Lineage: Eukaryota; Metazoa; Arthropoda; Insecta; Coleoptera; Cerambycidae
Exons: 2
Source: RefSeq, a predicted model, not a curated record
UUUCAGAUGUAUCCAGUAACAGCUUCAUUUUGUGAAUCAUGCGACGAACUCGUGUAGUCAGACUGCCUUCAGGAUGUAUUCGUGGUGGGGUUUAGACUUUGGAGAGGAGAAAAAGUCCAGGAUCAGCUGUGUCGGCCCAGGACACGCCUUGACUUUGCAGCAGUGUUAAAUCCAAAUGCACCUGCAUUUUUUUCAAAUGUUCAGAUAGAUACGAUCACAUUCCUUAGACAGAUUAUUCUAUAAGUUUAUUUCAUUACAGUUCAUACCUGCCUUAUUUUUAUAAAAGCUGUAUUCAGCAAUUUAGCAAUAGUUUACUUACUCUUUCAGUGAUGACGUCUGGAAUUAACAGGGCAGUAUUAGUCGGUGUGCUUUUGCAUACAGAAAUGGCGUAAUCUUCUCUUGUCAGACCGAAUGGUCUACUCGACAAGUAUUCUCCAUACGUCUUCCCCAACAUUUAACCACGUUACAGAAUAUGACACGUAUUUAUAAAUAUUUCCCAAAUUAUUUGCGUAGUGUAUUCUGUGGUUUUGUGUUUUGGGAUUUCCCUUCUUUCGGAAAUGUCCGUCACGGCACUGCUUUUGCCUUUGCAAAGUUUUCGUAUCAACAUGGUAUUAUUUUGAUGGUAAUUUGAUAAACAUGAUGUUGACAUCAAGUCAUUUAGGGUUUGAACACUAAAACGCAUUCCUUGUAAUUGUUCUAGACUUUUUAUAUUUUUACAAGUUUAAUAAAUAUGUUUCUAUAAUU